RNAcentral lists this long non-coding RNA (573 nucleotides) under Elaeis guineensis (African oil palm). Its description in RNAcentral is "long non-coding RNA (EGUI_LNC014350)". Lineage: Eukaryota; Viridiplantae; Streptophyta; Magnoliopsida; Arecales; Arecaceae. The record is from RNAcentral.
UGUGUGCAUAAAUUCGCCCAUUGGGGCUUUCCAAAUAAUCAUAUCCCUUUCUCCCAAAAACAAAUAAGAUUUUUGUGCAUAUCUUUUUAUAAAUAUUAUGUAAAAAGAUUAUAAAGAUAAUCCUCCAAAUUUGGAUCAGUUACAUUUGAAUCUCAAACUUUUAAAAAAUUUCAAUUAGCCAUUGGAUCUUCAGUUUCAUUGCAAUGUGCUUUAGUCCUAUCUAUCUAGAUCCUGACAUCAUUGAUAGAGUGAGAAAAAACCAAAAUAUCCUUGAUUCAGAUAGAUCAGGUCAUAGCUUUAAUGCGAUCUCAAAAUAUGUCAUUCAUUCAUCUACAUAACUCUCAAAGUGCUCUAUCAUCUAUCAUGGAUCUAUUUAUUUAGAUCUCGAAGCAUUCAAUCCUCUAUUAUCUAUCUGCUUGUAAAAAUCUCAAAGCAUUCCAUCUUCUAUCAUUAAUCUACUUGCAUAGUUCUCAAAUGUAAAAGCUCUUUAUUUAUUAUCCAUUCACUUUCACAAAUCUCAAAGCUCUUUAUCUUUUAUCAUCCAUCCAUCUAUAUAGAUCUCAAAUUAUUCUA